CCUGCUCAAUGAGACUUUAAAUAGCCGCAGAUAUUCUGUGCUAAGGUAGCAUAAUCACUUGUUUUUUAAUUAAAAACUAGAAUGAAAGGUUUAACGUUUUAAUUACUUUAUUUUUAAUAAAAUUUCAACUUAUAUUAAAUAUAAAAAUAUAUUUAUUAAAAAAAUAGACGACAAGACCCUAUUGAACUUUACCUCCGUUUAGCUGGGGCAGCUUAAUAAUAAAAAUUUUAUAUAAAUCAAUAAACUAAAAAUUAUCCAAUAAAAUUGAUACAUUAAACAAGUUACCAUAGGGAUAACAGCAUAAUAUUAUUCUAAAGCUCUUAUUUAAAAUAAUGUUUGUGACCUCGAUGUUGAAUUAUUAUUACUUAUUUUAACGCAAUAGUUACAAAAGUAAGUCCGUUCGACUUUUAAUAUAAUACA
This 420-nucleotide ribosomal RNA is filed under the name Platnickina alabamensis. RNAcentral's name for it is "partial 16S ribosomal RNA". It matches the Rfam family "Archaeal large subunit ribosomal RNA", at positions 1953 to 2671 of the family's 2987-position model. Lineage: Eukaryota; Metazoa; Arthropoda; Arachnida; Araneae; Theridiidae. The record is from RNAcentral.